This 414-nucleotide non-coding RNA is filed under the name Eisenia fetida (common brandling worm). The record is from RNAcentral. Lineage: Eukaryota; Metazoa; Annelida; Clitellata; Crassiclitellata; Lumbricidae.
CUCUGGCCGUGUGACAGGUGAUCAAUUUGGUCACCGACUAACCCUACAGUUAUUUGCUUAAUUCCUUCGUGUGCACCAAAGUCCUCUGUUUUCACAGCUUGCUUUCAGCGGACGACGAAGGAAAAUGCCUGUGACGAAAAAAGCAAGCCCACGGUCAGAGGCCAUCAAUCACGACUUCGUGUUGGGUGUUGCAUUUUGCAAAGACCGCUAAUGCGCGACACACCAUACAGCUCCGUCGACCAGUGACCGACUUUGAGACGACAUCGCAGUUUGUCUUCGGGUCGACUCGUUGGGAAUUGGUAGACGGAAUUUGACCAUAUAUCUGGUACGUGAAUAUAGCAAAUUUCAGUGCACUGACGUCUUAAGGGUUGCACACACAAGUUGUGUACUUCCUUACAGUAAGUGCAUACAUUU